This 200-nucleotide unclassified non-coding RNA is filed under the name Phaeosphaeriaceae sp. RNAcentral describes it as "partial internal transcribed spacer 2". Lineage: Eukaryota; Fungi; Ascomycota; Dothideomycetes; Pleosporales; Phaeosphaeriaceae. The record is from RNAcentral.
UUAAGUUCAGCGGGUAUCCCUACCUGAUCCGAGGUCAAGCGUUAAAAAUGGGCUUGAUGGUUGCUAGUAUUCGUGGGCUAGAAUCGCAAAUUGUGCUGCGCUUCCAUACCAAAACACUGGCUGCCAAUUGUUUUAAGGCGAGUCCAAACACGCGGGAGUGGACAAACACCCAACACCAAGCAGAGCUUGAGAGUACAAAU